CAGUAGCCGCGGUAAUACGGAGGGUGCAAGCGUUACUCGGAAUCACUGGGCGUAAAGGACGCGUAGGCGGAUUAUCAAGUCUCUUGUGGAAUCUAACGGCUUAACCGUUAAACUGCUUGGGAAACUGAUAAUCUAGAGUAAGGGAGAGGCAGAUGGAAUUCUUGGUGUAGGGGUAAAAUCCGUAGAUAUCAAGAAGAAUACCUAUUGCGAAGGCGAUCUGCUGGAACUUAACUGACGCUAAUGCGUGAAAGCGUGGGGAGCAAACAGGAUUAGAUACCCGCGUAGUCCCUGUCUCUUAUAC
This 301-nucleotide ribosomal RNA is filed under the name uncultured bacterium. Its description in RNAcentral is "partial 16S ribosomal RNA". It matches the Rfam family "Bacterial small subunit ribosomal RNA", at positions 509 to 807 of the family's 1533-position model. The record is from RNAcentral.